RNAcentral lists this ribosomal RNA (1400 nucleotides) under Staphylococcus sp. RH-29. Its description in RNAcentral is "16S ribosomal RNA". It matches the Rfam family "Bacterial small subunit ribosomal RNA". Lineage: Bacteria; Bacillati; Bacillota; Bacilli; Caryophanales; Staphylococcaceae. The record is from RNAcentral.
AAGGAAGCUUGCUCCUUUGACGUUAGCGGCGGACGGGUGAGUAACACGUGGGUAACCUACCUAUAAGACUGGGAUAACUUCGGGAAACCGGAGCUAAUACCGGAUAAUAUUUCGAACCGCAUGGUUCGAUAGUGAAAGAUGGUUUUGCUAUCACUUAUAGAUGGACCCGCGCCGUAUUAGCUAGUUGGUAAGGUAACGGCUUACCAAGGCGACGAUACGUAGCCGACCUGAGAGGGUGAUCGGCCACACUGGAACUGAGACACGGUCCAGACUCCUACGGGAGGCAGCAGUAGGGAAUCUUCCGCAAUGGGCGAAAGCCUGACGGAGCAACGCCGCGUGAGUGAUGAAGGUCUUCGGAUCGUAAAACUCUGUUAUUAGGGAAGAACAUACGUGUAAGUAACUAUGCACGUCUUGACGGUACCUAAUCAGAAAGCCACGGCUAACUACGUGCCAGCAGCCGCGGUAAUACGUAGGUGGCAAGCGUUAUCCGGAAUUAUUGGGCGUAAAGCGCGCGUAGGCGGUUUUUUAAGUCUGAUGUGAAAGCCCACGGCUCAACCGUGGAGGGUCAUUGGAAACUGGAAAACUUGAGUGCAGAAGAGGAAAGUGGAAUUCCAUGUGUAGCGGUGAAAUGCGCAGAGAUAUGGAGGAACACCAGUGGCGAAGGCGACUUUCUGGUCUGUAACUGACGCUGAUGUGCGAAAGCGUGGGGAUCAAACAGGAUUAGAUACCCUGGUAGUCCACGCCGUAAACGAUGAGUGCUAAGUGUUAGGGGGUUUCCGCCCCUUAGUGCUGCAGCUAACGCAUUAAGCACUCCGCCUGGGGAGUACGACCGCAAGGUUGAAACUCAAAGGAAUUGACGGGGACCCGCACAAGCGGUGGAGCAUGUGGUUUAAUUCGAAGCAACGCGAAGAACCUUACCAAAUCUUGACAUCCUUUGACAACUCUAGAGAUAGAGCCUUCCCCUUCGGGGGACAAAGUGACAGGUGGUGCAUGGUUGUCGUCAGCUCGUGUCGUGAGAUGUUGGGUUAAGUCCCGCAACGAGCGCAACCCUUAAGCUUAGUUGCCAUCAUUAAGUUGGGCACUCUAAGUUGACUGCCGGUGACAAACCGGAGGAAGGUGGGGAUGACGUCAAAUCAUCAUGCCCCUUAUGAUUUGGGCUACACACGUGCUACAAUGGACAAUACAAAGGGCAGCGAAACCGCGAGGUCAAGCAAAUCCCAUAAAGUUGUUCUCAGUUCGGAUUGUAGUCUGCAACUCGACUACAUGAAGCUGGAAUCGCUAGUAAUCGUAGAUCAGCAUGCUACGGUGAAUACGUUCCCGGGUCUUGUACACACCGCCCGUCACACCACGAGAGUUUGUAACACCCGAAGCCGGUGGAGUAACCAUUUGGAGCUAGCCGU